UAUAAAGUAGUCUAAAGAGGGCGAAGGAUCUAUGCUCCUUAAGUGUUGACAUUAACCUUUAUAG
RNAcentral lists this transfer RNA (64 nucleotides) under Perna viridis (Asian green mussel). RNAcentral's name for it is "tRNA-Met". Lineage: Eukaryota; Metazoa; Mollusca; Bivalvia; Mytilida; Mytilidae. The record is from RNAcentral.